RNAcentral lists this ribosomal RNA (382 nucleotides) under uncultured archaeon. RNAcentral's name for it is "bacterial SSU rRNA". It matches the Rfam family "Archaeal small subunit ribosomal RNA", at positions 442 to 823 of the family's 1478-position model. The record is from RNAcentral.
CCGGGCAAGACCGGUGCCAGCCGCCGCGGUAACACCGGCGGCUCGAGUGGUAACCGUUAUUAUUGGGUCUAAAGGGUCUGUAGCCGGCCGGAUAAGUCUCUUGAGAAAUCUGGCAGCUUAACUGUCAGGCUUUCAGGAGAUACUGUCUGGCUCGAGGCCGGGAGAGGUGAGAGGUACUUCAGGGGUAGGGGUGAAAUCUUGUAAUCCUUGAAGGACCACCAGUGGCGAAGGCGUCUCACCAGAACGGACCUGACGGCAAGGGACGAAAGCUAGGGGCACGAACCGGAUUAGAUACCCGGGUAGUCCUAGCCGUAAACGAUACUCGCUAGGUGUCGGCCACGGUGCGACCGUUGUCGGUGCCGUAGGGAAGCCGUGAAGCGAG